This 214-nucleotide long non-coding RNA is filed under the name Salvia miltiorrhiza (redroot sage). Its description in RNAcentral is "long non-coding RNA (SMIL_LNC013633)". Lineage: Eukaryota; Viridiplantae; Streptophyta; Magnoliopsida; Lamiales; Lamiaceae. The record is from RNAcentral.
GGGGUAGCUUUUCCUUAAUUCUUUUUCUUUGGGAUUGCAAAGACAAAGAGUGAAAGAGACGUUGGGAGUUGUGGGGGAGAAGAAAAGAAAUCUGACAAAGUCAAAAGAGGAGAAGUGAGGAAACGUGCGAAAUUAGAAAGAAGAAAAGGUGGUUGUUGUGGGCGGCUGGGCCUGGGCCACCUUUUUUUUAUAAUUGGAAAUGGAGAUUGGGCUA